CGGGGAAUAUUGGGCAAUGGGGGCAGCCCUGACCCAGCGACGCCGCGUGGGGGAAGACGGCCUUCGGGUUGUAAACCUCUUUUGUACGGGAAGAAGGAGGUGACGGUACUGUACGAAUAAGUCCCGGCUAACUACGUGCCAGCAGCCGCGGUAAUACGUAGGGGACGAGCGUUGUCCGGAAUUACUGGGCGUAAAGGGCGCGCAGGCUGUGCUGCAAGUCAGCUGUUAAAUGUCUGGGCUUAACCCGGGCAUGCGGUUGAGACCGCGGUGCUGGAGUGCUGUAGAGGCAAGUGGAAUUCCCAGUGUAGCGGUGAAAUGCGUAGAUAUUGGGAAGAACACCGGUGGCGAAGGCGACUUGCUGGGCAGCAACUGACGCUGAGGCGCGAAAGCCAGGGGAGCAAACGG
RNAcentral lists this ribosomal RNA (405 nucleotides) under uncultured bacterium. RNAcentral describes it as "bacterial SSU rRNA". It matches the Rfam family "Bacterial small subunit ribosomal RNA", at positions 355 to 775 of the family's 1533-position model. The record is from RNAcentral.